UUGUAAAGAUCUUUUCCACAUGAGGAAUAAGUCUGGGAGGGAAUGCCCGGAUGAUGACGUUAGUGUGGGAAUAAGCCCCGGCUAAUUACGUGC
This 93-nucleotide ribosomal RNA is filed under the name uncultured bacterium. RNAcentral describes it as "partial 16S ribosomal RNA". The record is from RNAcentral.